GUGCUUGCUUCAGCAGCACAUAUACUAAAAUUGAAACGAUACCAAAGAUUAGCAUGGCCCUUGGGCAAGGAUGACACGCAAAUUCAUAAAGCAUUCCAUAUUUUA
Suncus etruscus (white-toothed pygmy shrew) is the source of this 105-nucleotide small nuclear RNA. Lineage: Eukaryota; Metazoa; Chordata; Mammalia; Eulipotyphla; Soricidae. The record is from RefSeq and is a predicted model, not a curated record.